This 465-nucleotide ribosomal RNA is filed under the name uncultured bacterium. Its description in RNAcentral is "partial 16S ribosomal RNA". It matches the Rfam family "Bacterial small subunit ribosomal RNA", at positions 339 to 795 of the family's 1533-position model. The record is from RNAcentral.
CUACGGGUUGCUCCAGUGGGGAAUAUUGGACAAUGGGGGAAACCCUGAUCCAGCAAUGCCGCGUGUGUGAAGAAGGCCUGCGGGUUGUAAAGCACUUUCGGUUGGGAGGACUGCUUCUAGCACUAAUAUUGUUGGAAGUUGACGUUACCUUCAGAAGAAGCACCGGCUAACUCCGUGCCAGCAGCCGCGGUCAUACGGAGGGUGCAAGCGUUAAUCGGAAUUACUGGGCGUAAAGCGCGCGUAGGCGGCUAGAUCAGUCGGGUGUGAAAGCCCCGGGCUUAACCGGGGAACUGCGUCCGAUACUGUCUAGCUUGAGUACAGGAGAGGAGAGUGGAAUUCCACAUGUAGCGGUGAAAUGCGUAGAUAUGUGGAGGAACACCAAUGGCGAAGGCAGCUCUCUGGCCUGAUACUGACGCUGAGGUGCGAAAGCGUGGGGAGCAAACAGGAUUAGAUACCCUAGUAGUC